GAUGAACGCUGGCGGCGUGCCUAAUACAUGCAAGUCGAGCGAACAGACGAGGAGCUUGCUCCUUCGACGUUAGCGGCGGACGGGUGAGUAACACGUAGGUAACCUACCUAUAAGACUGGGAUAACUUCGGGAAACCGGAGCUAAUACCGGAUAAUAUUUCGAACCGCAUGGUUCGAUAGUGAAAGAUGGCUUUGCUAUCACUUAUAGAUGGUCCUGCGCCGUAUUAGCUAGUUGGUAAGGUAACGGCUUACCAAGGCAACGAUACGUAGCCGACCUGAGAGGGUGAUCGGCCACACUGGAACUGAGACACGGUCCAGACUCCUACGGGAGGCAGCAGUAGGGAAUCUUCCGCAAUGGGCGAAAGCCUGACGGAGCAACGCCGCGUGAGUGAUGAAGGUCUUCGGAUCGUAAAACUCUGUUAUUAGGGAAGAACAAACGUGUAAGUAACUGUGCACGUCUUGACGGUACCUAAUCAGAAAGCCACGGCUAACUACGUG
RNAcentral lists this ribosomal RNA (497 nucleotides) under uncultured bacterium. RNAcentral describes it as "partial 16S ribosomal RNA". It matches the Rfam family "Bacterial small subunit ribosomal RNA", at positions 28 to 507 of the family's 1533-position model. The record is from RNAcentral.